UUCCUGGAGGACUAGUGGUUAGGUCUUGGCUCUCUCACCACCGCAGCCCGGGUUCGAUUCCCAGCCAGGGAA
Pangasius djambal is the source of this 72-nucleotide non-coding RNA. NCBI's taxonomy places the organism in Eukaryota, Metazoa, Chordata, Actinopteri, Siluriformes, Pangasiidae. The record is from the annotation of a GenBank genome assembly.